GACGAACGCUGGCGGCGUGCUUAACACAUGCAAGUCGAACGGAAAGGCCCUGCUUUUGUGGGGUGCUCGAGUGGCGAACGGGUGAGUAACACGUGAGUAACCUGCCCUUGACUUUGGGAUAACUUCAGGAAACUGGGGCUAAUACCGGAUAGGAGCUCCUGCUGCAUGGUGGGGGUUGGAAAGUUUCGGCGGUUGGGGAUGGACUCGCGGCUUAUCAGCUUGUUGGUGGGGUAGUGGCUUACCAAGGCUUUGACGGGUAGCCGGCCUGAGAGGGUGACCGGCCACAUUGGGACUGAGAUACGGCCCAGACUCCUACGGGAGGCAGCAGUGGGGAAUAUUGCACAAUGGGCGGAAGCCUGAUGCAGCAACGCCGCGUGCGGGAUGACGGCCUUCGGGUUGUAAACCGCUUUCGCCUGUGACGAAGCGUGAGUGACGGUAAUGGGUAAAGAAGCACCGGCUAACUACGUGCCAGCAGCCGCGGUGAUACGUAGGGUGCGAGCGUUGUCCGGAUUUAUUGGGCGUAAAGGGCUCGUAGGUGGUUGAUCGCGUCGGAAGUGUAAUCUUGGGGCUUAACCCUGAGCGUGCUUUCGAUACGGGUUGACUUGAGGAAGGUAGGGGAGAAUGGAAUUCCUGGUGGAGCGGUGGAAUGCGCAGAUAUCAAGAGGAACACCAGUGGCGAAGGCGGUUCUCUGGGCCUUUCCUGACGUUGAGGAGCGAAAGCGUGGGGAGCGAACAGGCUUAGAUACCCUGGUAGUCCACGCUGUAAACGGUGGGUACUAGGUGUGGGGUCCAUUCCACGGGUUCCGUGCCGUAGCUAACGCUUUAAGUACCCCGCCUGGGGAGUACGGCCGCAAGGCUAAAACUCAAAGGAAUUGACGGGGCCCCGCACAAGCGGCGGAGCAUGCGGAUUAAUUCGAUGCAACGCGUAGAACCUUACCUGGGUUUGACAUGGAUCGGGAGUGCUCAGAGAUGGGUGUGCCUCUUUUGGGGUCGGUUCACAGGUGGUGCAUGCCUGUCGUCAGCUCGUGUCGUGAGAUGUUGGGUUAAGUCCCGCAACGAGCGCAACCCUUGUUCACUGUUGCCAGCACGUUAUGGUGGGGACUCAGUGGAGACCGCCGGGGUCAACUCGGAGGAAGGUGGGGAUGACGUCAAGUCCUCAUGCCCCUUAUGUCCAGGGCUUCACGCAUGCUACAAUGGCUGGUACAGAGAGUGGCGAGCCUGUGAGGGUGAGCGAAUCUCGGAAAGCCGGUCUCAGUUCGGAUUGGGGUCUGCAACUCGACCUCAUGAAGUCGGAGUCGCUAGUAAUCGCAGAUCAGCAACGCUGCGGUGAAUACGUUCCCGGG
This 1343-nucleotide ribosomal RNA is filed under the name uncultured bacterium. Its description in RNAcentral is "16S ribosomal RNA". It matches the Rfam family "Bacterial small subunit ribosomal RNA", at positions 28 to 1378 of the family's 1533-position model. The record is from RNAcentral.